CUUUUUGAUCGAAGUCCAAGAACAGCUUUGACGGACAGCUUUCUAAGCGCAGAAAAGAAAGCUUUGAGUGUGGUUCUUCUCUCAACGGAAAAAGGGCUGGAAGAAGAAUAUCCCUCAUAUCGAGUGUCUAUCGCUCCCGUGGCACUGGCCGUAACAUCAAGAUCGGAAAAUGGCGUCAUAAAAGAUAGUUAUACCUUACCCCAUGACCUGAAAGAGGGUCGGG
RNAcentral lists this unclassified non-coding RNA (223 nucleotides) under Hevea brasiliensis (rubber tree). Lineage: Eukaryota; Viridiplantae; Streptophyta; Magnoliopsida; Malpighiales; Euphorbiaceae. The record is from RNAcentral.